Molecule: long non-coding RNA, 6652 nt
Filed under: Homo sapiens (human)
Lineage: Eukaryota; Metazoa; Chordata; Mammalia; Primates; Hominidae
Description: HSALNT0369773
Source: RNAcentral
CUCCAUUCUUGAUUAUGUAGAACCAUUCCAAUCCUGAGUGACAGGAUUUGCAAAGACAGCUGUUGGGCUCCACAAACAUUUGGAGGAGGGGAAAAUGUGAGGUUGGUUGCUACAUUCUCCUACUUCUUUUUACUGAAAGGAACAGCUGCGAUCUUCACAUGUAAGAUGAAGUAAACAAAAGCUGACAAUGCCCAGCACCAUUCAGCAGUAAGCAUUCAAAUGGAUUUUUCCUCACCGCGUUUGCAGGCCCGGCACAGUCUCAGUUCCCCACAGCACAGAGAGGAAGCAAGGUCUUUGCAUGCCCUGUUCACUUGGCCAAACAUUGCCCUAGAUGUGCAAUUCAACCCAUAUAAAGCAAGCGUAAUUCAAGAGCCCUGACUCUUUCACCAUUUCAUGAUGGCUUAUUACUCGCACACGGCAUUGUCAGGUUCCAGCAACUCUGUGUGCAGCAGGCAGAAAUGCAGUGUUUAUCUCUGACAGGCAAACAUUCUUAGGCUCAUCGGCAUGAGUAUCCACGCUGAACUGGCUAUCGGGGAAGUAGAUCCCUGCAUGGGAAAGUCAAGUAUCCCCACUGUGUAGAGCUGGUCCACAAUGGAGAGGAGGAAAAGUUUUGCAUUGGACCAAAUCACUGCCUUAGAAGGAAAGAGAUUGCAAUCCCAUUCAUUUUUAAGAUCUGCAAUGGGUUGGGAUGAUACCCAUUUAAAAAAGAAAAAAAAAGAGGUUACCUCUUUGGCCUCUUUGGCAAAGGAUAUGAACUAGUAAUAAAGCCUCAGCAUCAAGGCUUGGGAGUCUGGCUCAAAGUGGCUAAGACUAGAAGCAUCUUCUAACAUAAAUAUGGCAGCAUUAGGAAAAUAGCUUGGCCUUUAGAGAGACCCAGAUUAUCUUCACCUUAAAAACUACCAAGACCCUGGUCCAGCAAGACCACCAUCACAGCAGUAAAUACAUAGCCACCAACUUCACAGAAGGUUUUCCACUGAGACAUUGUGAAAACCACAAUCCAUUACCGGUGGAUGAGUCCCAGCUCUCUUACUACCUGGAGCUUCCAAGCAAGACUUACCUGUCCUUUGUUCCAGAUUGGUUCCUGGGAUCCUGGACCAACACAAAGAGAAGAGGAAAGCCUCAAGGGAAAUAAAAGUGAAGGUUUCAGUGAUAGUUUAAAUAUAUAUUUUUAAAUGUUAGCUUUUUUUUAAAUACUUCACAGUGAUGGAUGGAGUAUUUCAACCACAAUGGCAAAGAAUGAAUUACCGGCAGUGUCAGAGUUUCUUGUUGCUGUGGGAAGACAGCUGCCAUGUUGAGAGGUGCCUUGUGGAGAGGCUCAUGUGGCGAGGAACUGAGACUGGCUUCUAUCCAACAACCAGUGAGGAACUAAGGCCCUAAAGUCCUAUAGUCCACAAGGAACUAAAUCCUACCAACAACUACAUGAGUGAGCCUGGAAUCUGAUUUUCCCCAGUGGGGACUUAAGGUACCUACAACCUGGCUGUUAUGGGCUAAACUGCAUCCUGCCCAAAUUUAUAUGUUUGAGUCUUAACUCCCAGCACUUCAGAACAUGGUUUUGUUUGGAGACAUAGUCAUUAAAGAGGUAAUGAAGUUAAAAUGAGGUCAUUAGGAUGAGUCCUAAUCCAAUAGGACUGGUGUUCUUAUAUGAAGAGGAAAUUUGAACACAGACACAUAUACAGGAAAGACCAUGCGAAGAAGACACAGAGAGGAAACGGCCAUCUACAAUCCAAGGAGAGAGGCCUCAGAACAAGCCAACCCUGCAGAUACCUUGAUCUAGGCAUCCAGAAUUGUAUGAAAAUACAUUUUUGUUAUUUAAGCUACCCAGUCUGUGGUGCUUUGUUAUGGCAAUCCCAGAAAACUAAUUAACUAAUUGACUGCAGCCUUGCAAGGGACCCUGAACCAGAGGACCCAGUUAAGCCAUGUGCAGAUUCCUGACUCACAGAACUAGGAGAUAACAAAUGUUUGUUGUUCUAAGGUGCUAAAUGUUGGGAAAAUAUGUUAUGUGGCUAUGUUGUUUUGCACAUGUGCCACAUAAUGAUGUUUUGGUCAACAACAGACCACACAUAUGAUGGUGGGCCCAUAAGAUUGUAAUACUGUGUUUCUAUUAUGCAUUCUCUAUUUAUAGAUACACAAAUACUUGCCACUGUGUUACAAUUGCCUACUGUCUUCAGUACUGUAACAUGCUGUACAGGUUUGUAGCCCAGAAGCAAUAGACUAUACCAUACAGUCUGGGUGUGUAGUAGGCUAUACCAUCUAUGUUUGUGAAGUACACUCUAUGAUGUUCACAUAAUUAUGAAGUUGCCUAGUGAUGCAUUUCUCAGAAUGCAUGCCCGACAUUAAGUGACACUUGGCUUUAUGUCUAUCAUGCAUUUAAGAUAUUGCAAUAUAGUUAACUUAUGUUUUAAUACACCUCUUAAUUCUGUUUUGAUCCCACACCAACCAAGAUGCAAAACUAAUUUUUUCGCCCAUUUCCAUAAAAAACACAAUUACAAUGGGCCUAAUGUGGUUUAUGUCAUUUUCCCUGAAGAUUUGUGGUGGUAUAGGAAGCAGUCACAGCACCCUGUAUAAAGCUCUUCCAUGGCCUGCCCCCUUUUCGCAGUCACCUCUAUUAUUUGAAGGAAUGGUCCAACCAACCUCAAAGCUCUGGAAAUUUGCCCCAAAAUAAUUUUACCCUGAAGCCAUUGAAGCUUAAGUUUCAGACCCCAGUUUCACAUUCCUGUGAGUUCUGCAAGUCACUGGGAGCUAUAGAGUCUUCUACGUAGAUUUGGGAAACAAGGUGAAAAUACCUCAAGAAAUCUCAGAAGCCAGGGGCCUGCAUCUCCAAGCCUCUGGCAAUUUUCUUGUGGUUUCUAUCCUCACUCUAGAUAUUUGCUUUUGAGACUGAUUUUGAAUUCAGAAUUUUAUAUUCUCUCAAAAAGAGAAUUCUCCAAAUUCUAUAAGCUUCAGGCUCUACAAAACUUGUCUAUUCUGCCUAACUAGAUUUAUCAUAGCACGUACCAAAGAUGGCCCUGCCUCAUGAGGACUUUUCAUAUCAGACCCUUAGAUAAUAAUAUUCCCUCAUGUAAGUAAUAAUAUUUCCGCAUGUAGUUAUGUAUGAAUAAUUUUCAUUCAUCUAUAUCAUGUUGGCCAUAGUCAGUGUCCAUGUCCAAUUUAUUUUUUGUGUCCUUGGUGCUCAGAAAGUUACCAGAUGUUCAGUCAGAAUUUUAUUUAAAAUAUUUUGAUGAACUAGAUUUAAAGAUAGAUUAAAUUAAUUCCUACACAUGAUUUAAUUUAAUGGAUAAAAUAAGGGACUGAGCAUUAGCCUGAACUGUGUACUUGCAUUAGCCCUGAUGUUCCCCAGAGGGAAUAAUAUGUGAAGAAUACUGCAUAGGCUGAAAAACAAGAGUUCCCAGCAGACCAAUAUUCUUUCUUUCUGCAAGCUGUGAGACACCUGGGGAAAGUUCUCCACAUUUGGUUUUUCAGCUACUCCACCCAUGACUAGAAGGAAGAUUUUAUUUUAUUAUUUUAUUUUAUUGUAUUUUUUAACAGUAAAAGAAAAAUUAUUGUUAUUUUAAUGAAAAAGAACCACCUGGAAAGUCUAGUGACAUUUUUGAAGGCAGGGACCACUUUUUCCAGGGAUUUGUUUCCCUAUGCUAGUGCUCCAUUCACCCUUGCACCACUUCAGCAAAGCACAUAGUAGGUGUAGCAGGGAGAUGUUAAGAUGGAAACUUGGCCCUGACCAUAGGCCAAGCCAGGGUGUCUAGUCGGGAUUUAUCCAUAAACAUCAAUAUUUAUCACUAGAUGAUAUAUUGAUUUCUUAUCUGCCUCCUAUACCUAUUGAUCUAUUUUUCACAGCUUAUAGUGGGGAGGGUCAUGUUCAGUUAUUAUCCUUAAACCAAAACAAUCUCUUCUUGAAAAAUAGGAUGCUAUGCUCUGAUGUUUGCAGAGGCCAGGAAAUUCUUGCUCUGAGAGUUCCAGAAAAAAAGAUUUGUCCAGAUUUGAACUAAUUUCAGAAAAACAAAACAAAAACAAAAAACCAUCCAAGGUUAAGAGGUGACUUCUGACUCACAGAAUGAACAAGAAGGCAGGGGAAAAAAUAAGUCCCCCAAGAUUCAGGUCAAAGGAAAUGAACAGAAGGAUGAUGGAGUGGCCCAGAGGAGGAUCACGUGACAGAAAAGUCAAGAUAAAUUAGUGGCAGGACAGAGGAAAAGAACUAAAGACCUGCAGGAUCCUGAAAGAAAGAAUGAAAGGAAGCAGAUGAAGAUUCUAGAGCCCAGCUGAAUAGCCAGGCCGCCUGAGGGUAAAGAGGGAGAGAAAGAGGAAGCAGUGAAUCAAAUCAAAAAAGGAUAGAAAAAUACAGAGAAACAAGCCAGGGCACGGUGGCUCUCACCUGUAAUCCCAGCACUUUGGGAUGACAAGGAAGGCGGAUCACAUGAGGCCAGGAAUUUGAGACCACGCUGGCCAACAUGGCAAAACCCUGUCUCUACUAGAAAAAUAUGGAGGAAUGUUUGAGAGAUUGUGCACUGCCAGGGGUGAGGACAUAAAUUUAUUUGCUAUGUGAAUGUUUUUUGAGACUCAUCUAGUUCCUUUACAAUUUUAAUUUAGAAUUUCUUUAGCUCCAAAUCAGGAUCAUUAGCUGGGAGUUCUUAUAAAUCAAAAGCAAAACAAAGCUAUUGCAAACAAGUGGGAGUUCUCAUAACCUUAAUCAGAAAGGCUUGAGUUGCAUUUCCAAAUCCUGUCUCUAGAGACCAUGAGUUUUUAAUGAUAGUAUUUCCAUGAAAGCCCAAUUGAAUACAAUCACCACCCAGACCAAAGUGUAGGGGAAAUCAUAAAGCUACUUUCAAAUCCGAGUCUUCUUUGAAAUUUAAAAUUAUAUUCCAUGAUAAUGGUUCUCAUAAACCUUAAUGCAAGGGAAAAAAAAAAAACUACAGCAGAAUAAAGAAGAUUUAAAAAGAAGCAGGAUAGGAAAAAAGACAAGCCAGAGGCUAGCUAUAUCUUUUCAUAAAGCACACCUGGUCUCAUAAGCACAUGAGAGCUAGGCCCAGAAGUUUCGAGCCUUGGAGACUCACUUCAAACAAAUUCCAGGGAAAGACACUCAAUUAAGUGUUCAGGACAAUUGUAUAUCCCCAGUGCACUCAUGUACUGGAAGUGCUUAAACUCUGCCCUCAGUGGUCAAUAAAAUGGUAUUAAGUCACAGACAACCCAUUGCCAUUGGUAUUGGCUGAUGUCUCUGGUAGUUUAUGUGAUGACAAACAUUAGCCUUAACAGCAGAGCCUUCCUUUCUUUGAUUUCCGUGUGAAAUUCUGUGGCUGGGAGAUGUUUAUGUUCACAUGAACAUAACUGUAAGCAAACCAUCUUAUGGUAGACAUCUCUCCAGAAAAAGCAAAUUCCAUCUUUUUAAAUAGAAAAAAAAAACAGCAGCAAAAUGAAAUUAAUGCCUUUGGCUCAUUGUGUUGUAAAAUUAUCCUUGAAGUUAUUUCACACUGCCCUAAAAAAUCAUUGAAUUCAGAUUAUAACACAGCUCUUAUGAAGCUGUUAGGCAGUUGCAUCUUUAAUGAGGCUGAGUAGGUAAGAGGAACAGAUACUCUAGAUUGAAAGCCAUCGCAAAAAAUGUGAAACAACUGUAUUAAAUUUAAUUUAAUUUAACCAAUGGGUGUAUUUAUUCCCUGCCUUCUUCCAGAAAGGAUUUAGGGAGCUUAGGUAAUGUGGAGGUCUGAAGGUGUAGAUACUCAUGAAAGCCUCAGAUUAAUAUCUAGAACAUAUAAUGUGUCCAGAUAGUUUUCAAUUAUCAAUGCAUUAAUCUAAGCUUGGAAAGGACUUUUAAACUGCAAUGAAACCUCAACUAGUUUCAAACCUGCAUUUUUUAGUAAGCUAUUUUGUCAUUUGGAGACCCACACAAAAAACCUAUUGUUCCUUUAAAAAGGAGAGAGAGAAAAAAAGAAAAACAACCUGCUGGUGUUGCUUUGUUCAUCUUAUCACCUUAUCAUUCAGCAGCCUAUUCAGGAUCAAAUGUGGGAAAGUCUGUGUGUGAGAUUAAGCCCUAUACUCAGCACAGGAAUUUCUUGGAUAAAUGUCUUUCUUAAAUGGAUAGCUAUGUAAAAAACAGAAGAGAAACUCUAUUAUUACAAUGCAGUUGGGUUUUUUUGUUUGGUAUGUUUCAAAUCUAAUAUUUAAAAUUAAGAAAAUUCAAAGCAAACCAUCUGUGUGGAUGUUUUCAUACUCCAUUUUUGUGACAAUAGCUUGCUUAACCGAGAUUAUUAGUGGAUUCUUUCAAUAAGAGGAAGAGAGUACCAUCAUUAAGAUGGUAUGCCUCCACUAGCCUUUAUUUUUGAGAUUAAAGAAUGACAAAAAUAUUUAUAUAUAUUUUUUCAUUAUUAAGACGGAGUCUCACUCUAUCGCCAAGGCUGGAGUGCAGUGGCGCCAUCUUGGCUCACUGCAACCUCUGCCUCCCAGGUUCAAGCAAUUCUCCCACUUCGGCCUCCUGAGUAGCUGGGAUCACAGGCACCCGCCACCACACCUGGCUAAUUUUUGUAUUUUUAGUAGAGAUGGGGUUUCACCACAUUGCCCAGGCUGGUCUCAAAUUCCUGACCUCAAGUGAUCCGCCUGCCUCAGCAUCCCACAGUGCUGGGAUUACAGGCAUGAGCCACCACAACUAGCCAAAAAAUAUAUAUUUUCU